RNAcentral lists this ribosomal RNA (141 nucleotides) under uncultured eukaryote. Its description in RNAcentral is "partial 18S ribosomal RNA". It matches the Rfam family "Eukaryotic small subunit ribosomal RNA", at positions 1299 to 1458 of the family's 1831-position model. The record is from RNAcentral.
UUGUGGAGCGAUUCGUCUGGUCAAUUCCGAUAACAAACGAGACUAGCCUACUAAAUAGCUCGGGGACCCCCACAAAGGGGCCCCGCUUAAACUUCUUAGAGGGACAGGUGGCGUUUAGCCACACGAGAUUGAGCAACAACA